GAUGAACGCUGGCGGCGUGCCUAAUACAUGCAAGUCGAGCGAAUGGAUUAAGAGCUUGCUCUUAUGAAGUUAGCGGCGGACGGGUGGGUAACACGUGGGUAACCUGCCCAUAAGACUGGGAUAACUCCGGGGAACCGGGGCUAAUACCGGAUAACAUUUUGAACCGCAUGGUUCGAAAUUGAAAGGCGGCUUCGGCUGUCACUUAUGGAUGGACCCGCGUCGCAUUAGCUAGUUGGUGAGGUAACGGCUCACCAAGGCAACGAUGCGUAGCCGACCUGAGAGGGUGAUCGGCCACGCUGGGACUGAGACACGGCCCAGACUCCUACGGGAGGCAGCAGUAGGGAAUCUUCCGCAAUGGACGAAAGUCUGACGGAGCAACGCCGCGUGAGUGAUGAAGGCUUUCGGGUCGUAAAACUCUGUUGUUAGGGAAGAACAAGUGCUAGUUGAAUAAGCUGGCACCUUGACGGUACCUAACCAGAAAGCCACGGCUAACUACGUGCCAGCCGCCGCGGUAA
RNAcentral lists this ribosomal RNA (515 nucleotides) under uncultured bacterium. RNAcentral's name for it is "partial 16S ribosomal RNA". It matches the Rfam family "Bacterial small subunit ribosomal RNA", at positions 28 to 523 of the family's 1533-position model. The record is from RNAcentral.